GACGAACGCUGGCGGCGUGCUUAACACAUGCAAGUCGAACGGAAAGGCCCUGCUUUUGUGGGUUUCUCGAUUGGCGAACGGGUGAGUAACACGUGAGUAACCUGCCCUUGACUUUGGGAUAACUUCACGAAACUGGGGCUAAUACCGCAUAGGAUCUCCUGCUGCAUGUUGUGGAUUGGAAAGUUUCGGCGUUUCGGUUAGGACUCGCGGCUUAUCAGCUUGUUGGUGUAGUAGUGGCUUACCAAGGAUUUGACGAGUAGCCGGCCUGGGAGGGUGACCGGCUACAUUGGGACUGGGAUGAGGCCAAGACUGCUACGGGAGGAAGGAGUGGGGAACAUAGGAAACAGGGCGGAAUGAUGAUGGAGGAACGCCGCGUGGGGGAUGACGGCUUUCGGGUUGUAAACCGCUUUCGAGUGUGACGAAGCGUGAGUGAGGGUACUGGGCAGAGAAGCACGGGUUAAUUCCGU
Molecule: ribosomal RNA, 467 nt
Filed under: uncultured bacterium
Lineage: Bacteria
Description: partial 16S ribosomal RNA
Rfam family: Bacterial small subunit ribosomal RNA
Source: RNAcentral